GAACUGAUGUCUCCAACCAGCAGCCAGCAAGGAACUGAAUUCUGCCAAUAGCCAAACUUCGAACAUUUUUGUGCCAAAAAAGAACAAUGAAGAAAUAUGGUUUACUUUUGAGUUGUUGGCUUGGCUAACUCGCAUGGAG
RNAcentral lists this long non-coding RNA (139 nucleotides) under Mustela putorius furo (domestic ferret). RNAcentral describes it as "lncRNA (ENSMPUG00000029146.1)". The record is from RNAcentral. Lineage: Eukaryota; Metazoa; Chordata; Mammalia; Carnivora; Mustelidae.